UUUUUUAAUUGGGGACUGGAAUGAAAGGUUGAAACUGAAGGGAAGGUUUUUUAGAAAAAUUUUGAAUUUAAUUUAAAAGUAAAAAAGCUUUUAUUACUCCUUGGGACGAGAAGACCCUAAAAGUUUAAAAUAUUAUAUAUUUUUAAUUGGGGCAAUUAUUGAAGAUGAAAAUUUUUAAUUAAAAACAAAAAAGUAUUGGAAAUUACUUUAGGGAUAACAGCGUUAUUUAAUUGAUGAGUUCUUAUUAAGAAUUAAGUUUGCGACCUCGAUGUUGAAUUAAAU
This 282-nucleotide ribosomal RNA is filed under the name Paecilaema paraense. RNAcentral describes it as "partial large subunit ribosomal RNA". Lineage: Eukaryota; Metazoa; Arthropoda; Arachnida; Opiliones; Cosmetidae. The record is from RNAcentral.